UACGAAGGGGGCUAGCGUUGCUCGGAAUGACUGGGCGUAAAGGGCGCGUAGGCGGACGGCUUUGUCGGGCGUGAAAUUCCAGGGCUUAACCUUGGGGCUGCGUUCGAGACGGGUUGUCUAGAGUUUGGAGGAGGGUCGUGGAAUUCCCAGUGUAGAGGUGAAAUUCGUAGAUAUUGGGAAGAACACCGGUGGCGAAGGCGGCGACCUGGUCCUUGACUGACGCUGAGGCGCGAAAGCGUGGGGAGCAAACAGG
This 253-nucleotide ribosomal RNA is filed under the name uncultured bacterium. RNAcentral's name for it is "partial 16S ribosomal RNA". It matches the Rfam family "Bacterial small subunit ribosomal RNA", at positions 524 to 776 of the family's 1533-position model. The record is from RNAcentral.